ACUUUGCAAGUCCAAAAUCUGACAGUUUUGGGUUGAAAUCAUUGUCUAACAAUAUGUUUGAAGAUUUCAAAUCACGGUAAAUAACAGGGGGAUUCGCUUUGCAAUGAAGAUAUUCAAGUCCAUGAGCUGCACCAGAAGCAAUUUUAAGUCUUGUGCUCCAACUCAGUGGCUUCUUUCCUGGUUCUACAUCAAAAAGAUGAUUCUCCAGGCUUCCCAUUGGCAUGAACUCAUAAAUCAAGAGCCUUUGGUCACCAUCGGUGCAGUAUCCAGUCAAGUUGACAAGAUUUUUGUGA
RNAcentral lists this unclassified non-coding RNA (293 nucleotides) under Hevea brasiliensis (rubber tree). The record is from RNAcentral. Lineage: Eukaryota; Viridiplantae; Streptophyta; Magnoliopsida; Malpighiales; Euphorbiaceae.